UUUGAAACGGGUUGUAGCUGUCCUUCGUAAGGAGGUACGUGCACGCCUUGCUCAUCCACUCUCAAACCCCUGUGCACUUUUUGUAGGCUUGGUGGGAUAGGCUGACUUCGGUCGGCUUUGAAUGCCUCGCCUAUGUAUUAAAACAAACGCUUCAGUUUAGAAUGUAACCUUGCAUAAUAAGCAAAUAAAUACAACUUUCAGCAACGGAUCUCUUGGCUCUCGCAUCGAUGAAGAACGCAGCGAAAUGCGAUAAGUAAUGUGAAUUGCAGAAUUCAGUGAAUCAUCGAAUCUUUGAACGCACCUUGCGCUCCUUGGUAUUCCGAGGAGCAUGCCUGUUUGAGUGUCAUGGUAUCAUCAACCUUCAACACUUUUGUGUCUGUAGGCUUGGACUUGGAGGUCGUGUCGGCGUUCGCGUCGGCUCCUCUGAAAUGCAUUAGCGUGAAUCUUACGAAUCGCCCUCGGUGUGAUAAUUUCUACGCCGUAGACGUGCAGUAUAUAGUGUUCGUGCUUACAACCGUCUGCAAAGACAACAUCAUUGACAAUCUGACCUCAAAUCAGGUAGGACUACCCGCUGAACUUAAGCAUAUCAAUAAGCGGAGGAAAAGAAACUAACAAGGAUUCCCCUAGUAACUGCGAGUGAAGCGGGAAAAGCUCAAAUUUAAAAUCUGGCGGUCUUCGAUCGUCCGAGUUGUAGUCUGGAGAAGCGUCUUCCGCGCUGGACCGUGUACAAGUCUCUUGGAACAGAGCGUCGUAGAGGGUGAGAAUCCCGUCUUUGACACGGACUACCAGUGCUUUGUGAUGCGCUCUCAAAGAGUCGAGUUGUUUGGGAAUGCAGCUCAAAA
RNAcentral lists this ribosomal RNA (842 nucleotides) under Phlebia cf. radiata RG-2014. RNAcentral describes it as "eukaryotic LSU rRNA". The stretch from base 545 to 842 matches the Rfam family "Eukaryotic large subunit ribosomal RNA", at positions 1 to 292 of the family's 3401-position model. Lineage: Eukaryota; Fungi; Basidiomycota; Agaricomycetes; Polyporales; Meruliaceae. The record is from RNAcentral.